ACUGGGUCUUGCACUUGUGUAAAUUUUAGGUUUUUAGCUGUUUAUUUUACAUAACAUACUUAAGUUUGAUUUGGUUACAAAAAGGUAAAUACAAUACUAUUAUAUUUUAUCUUUCCUGUUGACAAAAUACAGGAGUUCAAGCAGGGUAUGGGCUGCUUGAAUUCUGUUUUUAUGAGAUGGCUGAGGCAAGAAAAUGGGAAUUGUGCAUUCUGUGCCAAAAAGAAACUGAGGAACAACUUGUUUGCCCUCUUGCGAAUCCAGUUGCCAGUCGUAGAGUGGGAGCCUACAAAGAAAUCAUCAACCUUGUGAGUCAGUUUAGAGCUAUUGGUGCGGCUCCCCACCCAGAUGUAGAUCUUCCAGAUGAAGAAUUGAUGCAGCAGAAUCGUGCAUCCUGGCACAAAUCAUGUCGUCAGCUUUACAGAUCCUCAGCAUUUGAACACGCAAAAAAACGCACUGCCCGUGAGGGAUUGCCUGGUGUAAAUAGAAGUUCUUGUCGGACUGGAGAACCUGUUAACCGCAAUCUAUGUCUCUUCUGUGCUAAAGAAACAGAUGCAGUAGACCAUUCUUUCCAGAAAUUAUCACUUACCCAAGAGAUACAUGACAAGGCAGUUAAACUAGGAGAAGAUCGUAUUCUGGCACUCCUUGCAGAAGGAGAUCUGGUUGCUAUUGAAGCAAAGUAUCAUCUGAAAUGCUACACAAUGUUUAACCGCCGUGCUAAAUAUGACCUCUCUUUCAACAAACUUGAAAUGUGAGCCUCCACUUGCAGUGUUCCUUGCCCUUGAUUUGCAUUCGGAAACAAGAAGCAAGAAGUUAGUCAAUCUGCUACACAAAUAUAAACUCACAGUAUCAUAUGAGAAGGUCCUCAGCAUGGAAGUUUGCUUUGCACAGGCCAUUGCACAACAGACCAGGAAGAAUGCAGAUAUAGUCUGUCCUACAAAUUUGCGUCGGCAAAUUUUCACAGUUGCAGCCCUUGAUAACUUGGAUCAUAAUCCCACAUCACGCACUGCCAGCUCAUCCUUCCAUGGAACUGGGAUUUCACUAUUUCAGUUUCCUACAUCAGAGAAGCCUGGGUUGCACCAAGAAUGUCUGAAAAUCAACUCAAAGAAAUCAGGAGAAAGCAGCAUAGUAGGAC
RNAcentral lists this long non-coding RNA (1132 nucleotides) under Gadus morhua (Atlantic cod). Its description in RNAcentral is "lncRNA (ENSGMOG00000023170.1)". Lineage: Eukaryota; Metazoa; Chordata; Actinopteri; Gadiformes; Gadidae. The record is from RNAcentral.